CGUGUAGGCGGUUUGGCAAGUCAGAUGUGAAAGCCCCGGGCUCAACCCAGGAAGUGCAUUUGAAACUGCCAUUCUAGAGUAUGGGAGAGGAGAGUGGAAUUCCCAGUGUAGAGGUGAAAUUCGUAGAUAUUGGGAGGAACACCUGUGGCGAAGGCGACUCUCUGGACCAAUACUGACGCUGAGACGCGAAAGCGUGGGGAGCAAACA
RNAcentral lists this ribosomal RNA (207 nucleotides) under uncultured bacterium. Its description in RNAcentral is "partial 16S ribosomal RNA". It matches the Rfam family "Bacterial small subunit ribosomal RNA", at positions 568 to 774 of the family's 1533-position model. The record is from RNAcentral.